AUGACCGUAUCACAUUGAAAUACCGGUUUCCGUACGAUCCCCGAUAUUAAACAACGUUCUUCCUGGUCAGUACCCAGAUGGGUGGCCACAUGGAAAUUCCAUGUGCUGUAAG
RNAcentral lists this ribosomal RNA (112 nucleotides) under Acanthosepion pharaonis. The record is from RNAcentral. Lineage: Eukaryota; Metazoa; Mollusca; Cephalopoda; Sepiida; Sepiidae.